RNAcentral lists this ribosomal RNA (492 nucleotides) under uncultured bacterium. Its description in RNAcentral is "partial 16S ribosomal RNA". It matches the Rfam family "Bacterial small subunit ribosomal RNA", at positions 29 to 507 of the family's 1533-position model. The record is from RNAcentral.
AGUGAACGCUGGCGGUAGGCCUAACACAUGCAAGUCGAACGGCAGCACAGUAAGAGCUUGCUCUUACGGGUGGCGAGUGGCGGACGGGUGAGGAAUACAUCGGAAUCUACUUUUUCGUGGGGGAUAACGUAGGGAAACUUACGCUAAUACCGCAUACGACCUACGGGUGAAAGCAGGUGAUCUUCGGACCUUGCGCGAUUGAAUGAGCCGAUGUCGGAUUAGCUAGUUGGCGGGGUAAAGGCCCACCAAGGCGACGAUCCGUAGCUGGUCUGAGAGGAUGAUCAGCCACACUGGAACUGAAACACGGUCCAGACUCCUACGGGAGGCAGCAGUGGGGAAUAUUGGACAAUGGGCGCAAGCCUGAUCCAGCCAUACCGCGUGAGUGAAGAAAGCCUUCGGGUUGUAAAGCCCUUUUGUAGGGAAAGAAAAGCAGAAGGUUAAUACCCCGCUGUUCUGACGGUACCCAAAGAAUAAGCACCGGCUAACUUCGUG